This 200-nucleotide ribosomal RNA is filed under the name uncultured bacterium. RNAcentral describes it as "partial 16S ribosomal RNA". It matches the Rfam family "Bacterial small subunit ribosomal RNA", at positions 28 to 225 of the family's 1533-position model. The record is from RNAcentral.
GACGAACGCUGGCGGCGUGCUUAACACAUGCAAGUCGAGCGGUAAGGCCCUUUCGGGGGUACGACGAGCGGCGAACGGGUGAGUAACACGUGGGUGACCUCGCCCUCAGCUCUGGGAGUAAGACCCGGGAAACUGGGUCUAAUACUGGAUAUGACUCCAUGACGCAUGUUGUGGGGUGGAAAGCCUUGUGCGGCUGGGGA